GGAAAAUCUAAGUUUGAUAAUUCCUAAAACUCUGUUUAGUUCUAGUGACUAAUUAGCUCUAAGACCAAAUUUUAAUACCUAAUUAAAGUCCUAAGAACUAAUUAACUAGCCUAUUAAUCUGAGAUCUAAUGCUUCUACAUAAUCCUAAUCCUUCUAAUCAGCAUCUAACCAUCUGGAACAUAGAAAUACACAUGUGAGGAAGCGUAUAGGUGAAGUCCAAGAAGAAUUCACCAAACGCGCUUUUUCGCAAAAGCUACACAGGCAAAGGAAGCGCUUGCCGUUGACAAAGUGCUUAAAGAAAACUCCAUGCGAACAUCACAUUCGUCAUCACCCUGACAUUCACCAGCAAACAUCGCUGUUCGCGGACACUUCACCAUCUCGGAUCGUUCAACAGUCUAACGCGAUUCGCGUCCAUCCACCAUCAACAAUCAACUACUCAAACUUACGAAAUCAACAACAUCAGCUAUCCUAAUCUACGGAGCCGAAUCGCAACGGCAUCAACAAAUUACUCGAGCACGACGAAAAAGAAGAACAACAACUCACCGGCGAUGACGACGGGAGGACGGAUCGGCGACGGCUACGAAUGGAUCGGUUUUGAUGUGUCGCCGCGUUCUUCUUCCUUCUGUUUCAGUGCUUGCAAUCUUCUUGAAUUCGGUUAGAAUUUCUCCUUGCCGCGAGCUUCGCCUCCACUUGUAUUCAAUGCUCUUCUUCUUCUACCUUUCUUGGAGCGAUUCCGGUGAGAUGUUGAUUGUUGACGGUGAAGGUGUCGUGAAUCGGUUACGGUGGUUGAAGAUUCUACGAGGAUGAUCGGAGGUUGGUACAGUGAAUGUGGUUGAAGAACCGAGGUGGAAGAGGAGGUUGAAGUGGUGGCUUAGCUCUGCCGUGUGGAGCUUCGGAUGAUGAAGCUCCCACAACAAUGGAGGAUGAGCGUGUGCUGAAGGUGAGGAUUGAGUGCAGAAGCUUCUGGGAAUCAGGGAAAAAUCGUUCGAACCCAAUGAUUGGCAAUGAUUGCCUCUUAUAUAGGCUUGAUCCAAGGGGCAAAUUGGAGAAUCAGAUUUGGGUGGCUCAAUCUCAUUCGUCCAGCUGGCACUUAAGUGAAGGAUUCGUGUUCAGUUUGGUGUAGUGUCAAGGUUAAUAUACAUUGUAUCAACACAAGCAAAUUCAUUGCAAGCCCCCGUCGGUUGCCGUUAUUGCUCGGUGCUAAGUUUAGCGUCUUGAUGCAAGCUUCGCCCUGUCGCAGUGCAGGAUUGUUAUGCUACUAGAUCCGGAGCUAGCCUUAGACAGACGUUGCCGUUUGUGCUGAAAACCGAUUCGUAAGGCCUCGUUUGAGCACGGCUGCAGGUUUGAUCCCUCUUGCACCGCCUCGGAUUGUUGUAGCAUUAUUGUGGGGUGUGUAUGCUGCCGGUAAUGGAAUGGUACGUUUUAUUCAGCAGGGUGUUCAAUCCAUGUUGGUGUCCUUGUACUGAUUUAGCUCUGGUGCAAGCGACAAUCACAAGAUUCCGCAGUAGACUUGAUGGAAAGGUUUGUGUGCUUUCUUCUUGACCCUGUUCUGCCUUGGCUUACUGCAGGAUUUCACUUGGCUUGAUUGGGAUGCUUUUGUGAGCUGAAUUACCUGCUGCCAGUAAAAUGUCAACAUGACGAAGCUAUUAUCCCACACCUGCACAUAGGUAAGAGAAUUUGCCGUAGAUUCACAUGGUUGGUAUUUUAGCUUAUGUUUCUGAUUGAUUACUUCAGGUUGUGAUGCUACUAUGCAUGUUGAACGCCAACUUAUGAUGAUUCUGAGUUGAUGAUCUUCUACAAGGAUAUUCUGUAGUGUCUCCCGCGUGACUUUCACCAGAUACCUUAACCAAGUCUGGAUAUGAUACCACCCCAGCCCAGGGCGUUGCCAAACUCACGGAAUUGACAGAAGCAGCAACAUCAGAUACAAGUGUUUCUGUCUGUGCCUUUCUCUGUUCUUCCAGCUGAAUUUCUAAUAAAGACUUGGCCUUGACACUUGGAGCAGGUUUCCAAGCCUGUCCAGCAGCAACUUCAGCAUUGUGAGUAGAAACAGAACCAACUGCCACAGAAUCGCCUGAAAGGAUUGUUUCGAUAUGUUUCAUGUGAUCCACCGUUAUUUGGAAUGUGCUUAAUUGUUUGCGAGCUCGUAAUUUGCCAUCUGCAUUUUGAUUGUCCAGGUCUCAUGUUUCGCGUUUCGCACAUGCAUUCCCAUCGGCCGUUACUAUCGUGGUUUGAGUUACAUGCUGCUCAACUGGUUUAACUCCCACAUCUGUACCCACCUGUCCAGCCAGUAGCGAUGCAGCCGAAGACACUACAAUAACAAGUGCAACAUGCUGUGCCGGUUUGGUAUGCUCACCAGACUCGGAAACUGCGUUCAAAAGAGUACCACCAGCGCUGUUAUUGUUAUCCGACAUCAGCAGAAAAAGGUUUAGGUGCGAUAUUAGGCUCUUCUGUGGUCCUAUUCUGCUCAUGUAACAGGAAUCUUUCAACAGAAGCUAAUGCGGGCAAUGUUUUCUUCUGGGUGGAAAUGAUUCUGCAGGUUACCGCUGCUGUUUGGUUGCAGGUCUACUUGCGGAACAUUCCGUGAAUGAGUUCAGUAUCAGUUCAUGUCGGUUUCUUGUAUCAUGGCCAUGGUUCAAUUCUGAUUUGUUACUAUUUGUCAUGCCGGUCAUGGUGGUAUGGAGGAGCAAACAUGGCUAAGUAAAGGGUUGGACCUGGCACGGCAUAACAGUGGAAUUUUUGAAGUCACAAAAGUCAAACCAAGGAUCCACAUAGGGCUGAGACAUAGGGUUAGGAUCAGAGAUUAUGGACUUAGGAUUUUUUUGGGAUGGGGUUGACUUUGGUCAAAGUUGACCAAAAAGUCAACCGUUGACCAAGGUCAACCUUGGUCAACACCUCACAUUUUGUGUUUAUCUUGUUUUCUUUUUUUUGUAAUGAAUAUUUUAUCCUUUGUAAUGGAAAUUGAUAUUCAUGAAUGG
Molecule: long non-coding RNA, 2975 nt
Organism: Lathyrus oleraceus (garden pea)
Lineage: Eukaryota; Viridiplantae; Streptophyta; Magnoliopsida; Fabales; Fabaceae
Exons: 5
Source: RefSeq, a predicted model, not a curated record